RNAcentral lists this long non-coding RNA (1497 nucleotides) under Olea europaea subsp. europaea. The record is from RNAcentral. Lineage: Eukaryota; Viridiplantae; Streptophyta; Magnoliopsida; Lamiales; Oleaceae.
GAAAGCUUUUCACUUCGAGUACUUUUACAGUUUAUCACACAACACGGUACUUGACGGAGAAAAUGCAGAUGACCCAUCACGGAUGAAGAGAGAACGGAGUUGGAGAGUUCAAUUUGUGAGUGAAAGAUGGACUGAAAGUGAAAAUCUUAGCAGCUGGAUGGUUUUCAUGACAACAGCUGCUAACCAAGAUUCUGCAAACUAGAUUUUCAUCUUCAUUUGUAAGUUUUGAUCUUGCUUGCUUAAUUUUUCCUCGUUUUUGCUUGUCAAAAAAUUCGAAGAUUCAAUUUCUUGAAGUUUUUUAAGAGACCCAUUUGCAAUCAUACGACCUGACUGAAAUGUUUGAUGUAUUUGGGAAUUUGAGAUUCAGUAAAGUUUGAUUUUUAUUACAGUUUUAUCAACAGAUUUCAUGAAUCAUGAUUUUACAAUUUCUAAAUAUUACAUGAAUCUGUUGAUUUGACAUACUGUAAAAUUUAAUUUCAGGAUUUAGGAAUUUGAUUUGCAAUUUUUUUAUUCUAGAUUUCUUCUUAUUCUUCUCUUUACGAGAAUUGUUGGCAUAGAAAUCUGUUCUUUUUAUUUUGUGCUUUUCAUUUCCUCGUUAUUUGAUUUAAACACAUUUUUGUGUUUUUAUGUAGGUGGCGUCUGAAAUAUUUACAGUUUUCCCCCCUAUUUUUGCAAAUAUAAGUUCAUUCUCAGCGGUCAGAUUUUAGCAUGUGGUUGGACUUAAUUUUAAAAAGUUUUGUCCCUUUAUUGUGAUUUCUCCUUUGCAAAUUUUUCUUUGAAAAAAAGAAAAAAAGAAAAAAAAAAAACCCUUGUGUAGAUAGUUGAUCAAUUUGUAUAAGCUCACAAAUUUUGUGAAUUAAAUGCCUUCUAUUUUUAAAAAAAUAAAUAAAUUCUUUACUCUCUCUUUAAUGAAUCAUUGUAGGAUUUUUUACUUAAAUAAUAUCAGCACUGCUGUUUUAUGAAAUGAUGCUACUUUUAUUUUAUUUUUAUUUUUUCCCCUUUUGUUUUCUAUUGUCUUUGGUAGAUCAAGAAGACUGCUGUAUCAUUUUUUCAAACUUGAUGAGGUCCACUUACAUUUCGAGCUUGCAAUGUGAAAAAGAAAUCCCAACAACGUUGUAUUUACUUAUCCCCUGCUGCAGGUUUUUUUUGAAUAUUAGCUUAGAGGCCAUUCCGGUGGAAUUGUAUUUUCUUUUUAUCUUCUGAUUGGUGCCUGACUGGGCAGGUAACUUUAAAUUUCACUGUUUCAAUUCUAUAGAUCGUUAUAUGAAAGCAUAAAGUGUUGAAUUUCCAGUGAAAUAAUUAGCUCACUUUUGCAACAUCAUGUUUGUUUUUGUCAUUCUGAUGUCUAGGUUCAAGAAACCUGUCAUAAUUCGGCUGAAUUUUGAAUUCUUAUACUGGCCUGGAUCAGUUAUCUGGAUUAUAAGGGACAAGCUUUCCCCAAGUCAAAGGCAUUUGCAUUUUUGUUAUUUGCUGGAGUUAUGGGAACUUUGUUACACU